This 321-nucleotide small RNA is filed under the name Rattus norvegicus (Norway rat). RNAcentral's name for it is "uncharacterized LOC102548934". The record is from RNAcentral. Lineage: Eukaryota; Metazoa; Chordata; Mammalia; Rodentia; Muridae.
UGAAAAUAUCCAAGAGUACAAUGUCCCCACAGUGGAAAUGGCAGAACAAAGGCACCAAGCUCGAGUGUGCAGCUGUUAUUUGUUAACAAACAAAGAGCACAGUGACAUUGGAGUGACAAAGUCAAUAAUGAAAUAGCUAGAGAAAUGAGGUCACAGGUGCUGCAGCCUCUGCCCCUGUGGUGACAACUAAUCAUUCCAUUGGACUAAAACGAUAUACUUUAAAAAACAAUGUCCUGGAAUUGCCGAGACUGCUCAUAUAAGGCCAUGAAGGUCUACACAGCAAAGAUUGCACAAUAACCCAUUAAAAUAAACAUUUGCAAC